Molecule: long non-coding RNA, 1848 nt
Organism: Papaver somniferum (opium poppy)
Lineage: Eukaryota; Viridiplantae; Streptophyta; Magnoliopsida; Ranunculales; Papaveraceae
Exons: 5
Source: RefSeq, a predicted model, not a curated record
UAUCUGCAAGAUAUCUUUGUUUCCAUUUGUAAACACCUCUGUGAUAUAUAAAUACAAACAAACACUUCAAUGUGAAUCUCAUCGAUUGAGAAUUCACCAAAUACUGUGUUCUUACAGAUCUCCCUCUACUCAUUCUCCGUGAUAUCAGAAUUAUCAUUUUUCAGAUUUUCUCCAUUAUUACUUCGAUCGUCACUGCCAAAGGAUAAGUAAACAGUAUUGCUCUAUUGCUGUUCGAUAAAAUGUCUCAAUGAACUAAUUGUUUUGAUUUUCGGUUUGCGUUUUAAAGAGGUUUUGAUCAAUUAGUUACGUUUAUUUAAGGUUGAUAAAUCUCCUCGAGUCAUUUUUUUCAUGCUCACUGAUUCACUGCUAUGGAUCAGACACUUUUAAGGAGAUUAUUACAAUUCUUAUACCUAUUGCAUUGAUGCUGAUGCUUGCUGGGAAUGGUGAAGAUACAUUAUUGGCCGAUUGUGAAGUUAAUCUGAAGAACCUCAAUUUGCUGGGAAUGGAGUUGAUGUUUUAGUUCACGACUCUACUACUGCUAAACAACUUCUGGUAUUCGUAUUAAUCUUUAAAUUUGUUAUUUCAUUUGUAGAGUUACAAGGAACCAUCAUAUGUUUUUUGCAUCAGGUAAUGUAUUCUGACUUUACAGUUGAUACAGUUGAAUAAAAAAGUGGUAUUUUCUGUUACGUACUACUAAACUAUGCAUCAUAUUAAACUUCGUUUUAGUUACCCAAUCUGGAAGUAACUUUUGUUGUUUUCAAUUGUCGAUGGGCGAUUCAUUGGCCUUGUAGUUUACUAACUAUUUUCUUGUGAUGAAAACUGAAGGGCUAAAUUUACAUUUUGUUUGCAGUCUGAAGUCACUGCUCUAAAGAUCUACACCCACGGCAGGAGCAAUUGGUGUUGUAGAAAAUGGUUGUUCAGUCCCUGAAGCUGCUGCUUCAAGGGUGGAAGCUUUUUCAAGACUCUUAACUUCUUCCAAUUUUUAUUAGACUACAAAGGUUCCCUCCGAUUACAACCAAUUUUGUUUCUGUUCUUGUUUGUUUCUGCUUUACAAAUCAGAUUCAUGACAUUACAUUCACAGAUUCAAGACAUUUCAGGGUCUUUCCGUUGGGAUCCAUUUUUUGCGCUGCAGAAAUCUGACACCUUCUUAACCAUGCUUUUGCUGCUGUCAUGCCAUUGGUUGAUCUAGCGGAAGGAAAUCUUGAUAACAUUAUCACACAUCUUCUGUGAUUCGUAUGCUAGCGGAAUGUGUUGGACUUCUUUGGUUUGAGACCUCAGAUAAAAAAGUUACCUGUACAAGUUAGCAGCAGCAAAGAGGACACACUCGUUGAGGCAAGCUGGAUAAAAUUCUUGUGAAAAUGGGUAAUAGAACAUGUUGCUGGAGUUCUUGCAGGCUUGUUAAAAGGUGGGAUGAGUAACUGGUCAGUGAAUUCCGUAGUAAAGCAUUUUUGGAAGCCUUCACUAUUUCAAAAGAAGGAAAGGAAGAGAGUCUCAAGUUCAAAACAGUGACAUGAAAAAUCCCCCUUUACCAGCGUUAAGCGGUGCUAACUACCAUGCAUCACCAGCAGACCUGCGUAUAACCAGCGAAGACCUUCGUUAGCAUCUGCAGAUGUAGACCCCUCUGCUGCACCACAUCCUAAAUAGUAUAUGGAGCCGUUAGUGAUUCGCAUUGCUGGGCUGUAAAAGAAUGCAAGGAAAGGAUAUAGUCGUGUGGUUAGGUAUAUGCACCGAUGGACCAGUUCACUAUUAAGACAAUUGUAAUUAAGUUAAUUGUCAUGGAGUGAUGGUUUAAACCGCGUUGUGAUGGUACGAUAUUGUAAAUUAUAGUGCAAAUGCAAUCUUCGUUUC